RNAcentral lists this transfer RNA (52 nucleotides) under Hymenophyllum wrightii. RNAcentral describes it as "partial tRNA-Leu". Lineage: Eukaryota; Viridiplantae; Streptophyta; Polypodiopsida; Hymenophyllales; Hymenophyllaceae. The record is from RNAcentral.
AAAAUCCGUUGGUCUUUGUAGGACCGUGAGGGUUCGAGUCCCUCUAUCCCCA